GUGGGGAAUAUUGCGCAAUGGACGAAAGUCUGACGCAGCGACGCCGCGUGUGGGAUGACGGUCUUCGGAUUGUAAACCACUGUCGGGAGGGACGAAUACGCCGCAAGGCGGGUGACGGUACCUCCAAAGGAAGCACCGGCUAACUCCGUGCCAGCAGCCGCGGUAAUACGGAGGGUGCGAGCGUUGUCCGGAAUCACUGGGCGUAAAGGGCGCGUAGGCGGCCUGAUAAGUAGGGGGUGAAAUCCUGCGGCUUAACCGCAGGGCUGCCUUCUAAACUGUCAGGCUCGAGCACAGUAGAGGCAGGUGGAAUUCCCGGUGUAGCGGUGGAAUGCGUAGAGAUCGGGAAGAACAUCAGUGGCGAAGGCGGCCUGCUGGGCUGUUGCUGACGCUGAGGCGCGACAGCGUGGGGAGCAAACAGGAUUAGAUACCCGUGUAGUCC
Molecule: ribosomal RNA, 439 nt
Filed under: uncultured bacterium
Lineage: Bacteria
Description: bacterial SSU rRNA
Rfam family: Bacterial small subunit ribosomal RNA
Source: RNAcentral